This 72-nucleotide transfer RNA is filed under the name Hyposoter sp. ZJUH_2016018. RNAcentral describes it as "tRNA-Lys". Lineage: Eukaryota; Metazoa; Arthropoda; Insecta; Hymenoptera; Ichneumonidae. The record is from RNAcentral.
CAUUAGAUGGCUGAAUUAAAAGCUUUGAUCUCUUAAAUCAAAUUAUAGUAUAUUUAAAAUUACUUCUAAUGA